RNAcentral lists this long non-coding RNA (209 nucleotides) under Hordeum vulgare. Its description in RNAcentral is "long non-coding RNA (HVUL_LNC003541)". The record is from RNAcentral. Lineage: Eukaryota; Viridiplantae; Streptophyta; Magnoliopsida; Poales; Poaceae.
UUUACACCUCCGCUUCUACUUUGCUUUGUUACUUUGUUGCUUUCAGUUCUCACUUGGCAAACAAUCUAUAAGGGAUUGACAACCCCUUCAUAGCGUUGGGAGCAAGUUUUUGUGUUUGUACAGGAUCUUGAGAUACUCCUCCACUGGAUUGAUACCUUGGUUCUCAAACUGAGGGAAGUACUUACCACCGCUACGCUACAUCACCCUUU